GAUGAACGCUGGCGGCGUGCCUAAUACAUGCAAGUCGAGCGAACAGACGAGGAGCUUGCUCCUCUGACGUUAGCGGCGGACGGGUGAGUAACACGUGGAUAACCUACCUAUAAGACUGGGAUAACUUCGGGAAACCGGAGCUAAUACCGGAUAAUAUAUUGAACCGCAUGGUUCAAUAGUGAAAGACGGUUUUGCUGUCACUUAUAGAUGGAUCCGCACCGCAUUAGCUAGUUGGUAAGGUAACGGCUUACCAAGGCGACGAUGCGUAGCCGACCUGAGAGGGUGAUCGGCCACACUGGAACUGAGACACGGUCCAGACUCCUACGGGAGGCAGCAGUAGGGAAUCUUCCGCAAUGGGCGAAAGCCUGACGGAGCAACGCCGCGUGAGUGAUGAAGGUCUUCGGAUCGUAAAACUCUGUUAUUAGGGAAGAACAAAUGUGUAAGUAACUAUGCACGUCUUGACGGUACCCAAUCAGAAAGCCACGGCUAACUACGUG
This 497-nucleotide ribosomal RNA is filed under the name uncultured bacterium. RNAcentral describes it as "partial 16S ribosomal RNA". It matches the Rfam family "Bacterial small subunit ribosomal RNA", at positions 28 to 507 of the family's 1533-position model. The record is from RNAcentral.